RNAcentral lists this ribosomal RNA (274 nucleotides) under uncultured bacterium. RNAcentral's name for it is "partial 16S ribosomal RNA". It matches the Rfam family "Bacterial small subunit ribosomal RNA", at positions 523 to 796 of the family's 1533-position model. The record is from RNAcentral.
AUACGGAGGGUGCAAGCGUUAUUCGGAAUCACUGGGCGUAAAGGACGCGUAGGCGGGUUGGCAAGUCAGAUGUGAAAUCCUACAGCUUAACUGUAGAACUGCAUUUGAAACUGCUAACCUAGAGUAUGGGAGGGGGAGAUGGAAUUAGUGGUGUAGGGGUAAAAUCCGUAGAUAUCUCUAGGAAUACCGAAAGCGAAGGCGAUCUCCUGGAACAUAACUGACGCUCAGGCGUGAAAGCGUGGGGAGCAAACAGGAUUAGAAACCCCAGUAGUCC